This 708-nucleotide small RNA is filed under the name Pan troglodytes (chimpanzee). Its description in RNAcentral is "processed transcript". Lineage: Eukaryota; Metazoa; Chordata; Mammalia; Primates; Hominidae. The record is from RNAcentral.
AAGAAAGUGAGGACUGGGCCGGGCGCGGUGGCUCAUGCCUGUAAUCCCAGCACUUUGGGAGGCUGAGUCGGGUGGAUCACGAGAGAAUGGCAUCAUUUCCUGGUGGUCAACAUGAAGGGCAAUGACAUCAGCAGUGGCACAGUCCUCUCCGAUUAUGUGGGCUCGGGGCCUCCCAAGGGCACAGGCCUCCACCGCUAUGUCUGGCUGGUUUACGAGCAGGACAGGCCGCUAAAGUGUGACGAGCCCAUCCUCAGCAACCGAUCUGGAGACCACCGUGGCAAAUUCAAGGUGGCGUCCUUCCGUAAAAAGUAUGAGCUCAGGGCCCCGGUGGCCGGCACAUGUUACCAGGCCGAGUGGGAUGACUAUGUGCCCAAACUGUACGAGCAGCUGUCUGGGAAGUAGGGGGUUAGCUUGGGUACCUGAACUGUCCUGGAGGCCCCAAGCCAUGUUCCCCAGUUCAGUGUUGCAUGUAUAAUAGAUUUCUCCUCUUCCUGCCCCCCUUGGCAUGGGUGAGACCUGACCAGUCAGAUGGUAGUUGAGGGUGACUUUUCCUGCUGCCUGGCCUUUAUAAUUUUACUCACUCACUCUGAUUUAUGUUUUGAUCAAAUUUGAACUUCAUUUUGGGGGGUAUUUUGGUACUGUGAUGGGGUCAUCAAAUUAUUAAUCUGAAAAUAGCAACCCAGAAUGUAAAAAAGAAAAAAUUGGGGG